UUUUUUUUAACUUUUAAUUUGCAAAUCACAUUUUAGUCAAUAGUUAUGAUGUUUAUAAUUAAUAUUUUCAUCUUACUCUAAUUUCUUUUCACCCACUUUUUUUAUGCAUGGCUAACAACCGACACCUUCCCUCGGAUAUGUCACUACUCCGCCUUCAACAUGAAGAUAUUACGAAGGACUUAUGGGAAGGCAACGAACGAGUUCUUAGACCACGACGAGCUGGAGUCUGGAUUCUAAACAACCAAGAUUUAAUAUAUCCGCGUGUCAAAUAUUUAAUGGAACAUGCUGGUCUUGGACACGCAUUGUAUAUUCCAGACAUGGAUGUCAACCACAUUCUAAUCACUUCCUUAUUAGAAAGGUGGAGGACAAAAACUCAUACAUUCCAUUUCCCACAUGGAGAGACCAUUGUGACAUUAGAGGGUGUGAUAGUCCUCCUUGGCCUACCGAUAGAUGGAGAUGUGGUCACCGAUCCCACCAUCGUGGAAGACAUAUUCUCGACGUUCCACGAACAUCUGAGGAUAAUUCCAUCACCGACGGUGAUAAGAGGAAACUCAAUUAGAGUUUCUUGGUUAAAUAGUACUUUCCAACAACUCCGAUAGAAUGCAAACAACAAUGUUAUUGCUCAAUAUGCAAUAAAGUACAUACUAACAUUGAUUGGAAGCAUUUUAAUGCCAGACACGUCUGUUGCAAGGGUACAUGUGAUGUAUCUACUCAAGCUAGCUGACUUGAAUGUAGUCAGCAAUUAUAGUUAGGGGUCUGCAGUUUUGGCCUAUUUAUAUCGUGGCCUAGAUCAUGGCAUUCACCUAAGGCAAGAAAAUAUUGGUGGAUGCAUGAUUUUGUUACAAUGUUGGGCUUGGGAGAGGAUCACUUUUAUAGCUCCACAACUUGACCCUUUAAGUGAUGAGGAAGUGGCUGCAUGUGAUGGUUUCCCCGUAUGCAGAAGGUGGAUGAACCAAGUAGAUCAGAGAAAUGCUGGUUCUUUAUCAAUUAGUGAAUUUCGUUUGAAAUUUGAUCAAAUUCGUACAAGAUAGUUCUUGUGGAGGCCUUACAUUCAAAACGAAGUUCGUCGGUUGAUUAUGGUUGACAUCCCUAUAGUGGCUAGAGCAACAGUCCCUAUAAUUUGCUUCGCGACAGUCAAAUUUCAUCAAGCGGAUAGGGUCAUGCGUCAAUUUGGUUUAAGACAAAAUAUCCUGCCUGACCUGAUCAACCUGGAUCAAGUCCACAAGGAUGACUUGAGGGGGAGAAAUGAAAGAGAUUGGGUGACACAUCAUCACCGUUGGAUUGCAAUUUGGAAUGACCGACAAAAUCGGGUCAUUCAAGGUACACCAUUUAGCGGAAACGACCAUUUGCGUGAUGAAACACCUUACAUGCAAUGGUAUAUAAACCACACUAUCCGCUAUAUAUCUCCAAAUCCAGAAUCUUCCGACGAUGAGUAUGAUAUGUCACAAGAACCAUCUCAACCUGCUUCACAACCCUACACUGGUCAUGUCGAGUCUUCUCCAGAUUUUAUACAUCAUCCCCAAAAAAUUUUUGGGCACUCGUCUAUGGGUCACGGUCAAAUGUUUGGACAUUCAUACCUCAGUUUGGCAACCCAUCAAACACCCAAUUCCAACAUGUCCCUUCCUCGUACGAUUUCUUCCCGCAUCAGUCAGGUUAUGGUGCUGGUCCAUCACAGAUGUUUGGCACUUCAACCAUGACACCACCAUCCGCCUAUUGUCUAGGAUCUUCGUCAUCAAUGUCAUUCUAUCCUUUGCCAAUGCCUUCUCAAACUCCCCAAACAACGGUUCACCAUCCCCAAUUUUCUCAAAGUCAUCAACUUGAAGAUGAUGAUCAUGAUGAACCACACCAAGAACAACUACCAACACGACCAACCAGACCCAUCAGACGACCUCCAUGUGGAACUAGAGG
This is a long non-coding RNA of Vigna unguiculata (cowpea), 1908 nucleotides long. NCBI's taxonomy places the organism in Eukaryota, Viridiplantae, Streptophyta, Magnoliopsida, Fabales, Fabaceae. The record is from RefSeq and is a predicted model, not a curated record.